Long non-coding RNA from Photinus pyralis (common eastern firefly), 364 nucleotides. RefSeq lists it as uncharacterized. The record is from RefSeq and is a predicted model, not a curated record. The transcript is spliced from 3 exons. NCBI's taxonomy places the organism in Eukaryota, Metazoa, Arthropoda, Insecta, Coleoptera, Lampyridae.
AAUAUCGAAAGCACAAGCGACAGUAGACAUAACAGGUCUUACCUGACACCAGAGGCGGUCUUGUGCCAUUUUUUGCCGUUGUUCUACUACCAACUGCGGUGCUAGCUGUGGAUAACAUAUUUUGCACCAUUGCCUGUGCCAACCACCAAAAUCCCGAUGAAGAGGAAGUAGACGACGCUCAUGGGGAGGAAUUGUAAGGUCGAACUGUCGAAGCAUAAACACCAUACAUGCCAAUGAUUCUUGAUGGAAAUUUAAUUCCCUACAACCAUCCCCUUGUACGUUAAAAUGGAACAGAACCCAUUGCUGGAAAGCGGACGACUGUGGAUGCGAUCUGAAAACUCCUAUAACCCGGGAGUGCCACCCA